Molecule: ribosomal RNA, 254 nt
Filed under: uncultured bacterium
Lineage: Bacteria
Description: partial 16S ribosomal RNA
Rfam family: Bacterial small subunit ribosomal RNA
Source: RNAcentral
CACGUAGGGGGCGAGCGUUGUCCGGAUUUAUUGGGCGUAAAGAGCUCGUAGGCGGCUCGGUAAGUCAGGUGUGAAACCUCCAGGCUCAACCUGGAGACGCCACCUGAUACUGCCGUGGCUAGAGUCCGGUAGAGGAGCGUAGAAUUCCUGGUGUAGCGGUGAAAUGCGCAGAUAUCAGGAGGAAUACCAGCGGCGAAGGCGGCGCUCUGGGCCGGUACUGACGCUGAGGAGCGAAAGCGUGGGGAGCGAACAGG